Molecule: ribosomal RNA, 494 nt
Filed under: uncultured bacterium
Lineage: Bacteria
Description: partial 16S ribosomal RNA
Rfam family: Bacterial small subunit ribosomal RNA
Source: RNAcentral
GACGAACGCUGGCGGCGUGCUUAACACAUGCAGGUCGAACGGAAAGGCCUGCUUUCCCUUGUGGAUUGCGGGUACUCGAGUGGCGAACGGGUGAGUAACACGUGAGUGAUCUGCCCCCAACUUGGGUAUAAGCCUGGGAAACUGGGUCUAAUUCCCGAUAGGACUGCAGGGUGGUGCCUGUGGUGGAAAACGAUUUUCUAGUGGUUGGGGAUGAGCUCGCGGCCUAUCAGCUUGUUGGUGGGGUAAUGGCCUACCAAGGCGGCGACGGGUAGCCGGCGUGGGAGGGUGGACGGCGACAUUGGGACUGAGAGACGGCCCAGACUCCUACGGGCGGCAGCAGUUGGGAAGAUUGGACAAUGGGCGGAAGCCUGAUGCAGCGACGCCGCGUGGGGGAUGACGGCCUUCGGGUUGUAAGCUCCUUUCGACCGCGAGGAAGCCACCUGGUUGGAAGGGUGGUGACGGUAGUGGUAGAAGAAGCACCGGCUAACUACGUG